AAGGUUUUCCCAAGUCUUUUACUUAUGGUUUUCAUAUAUUAUGGUUGUUUGAACAUUUGGUUGCAUGGGAAUGGUUAAUUGGUAUAUUGUUCUGGCUUAGGAAGCACUAUUUCCCCCAUAUGUUUGAUAAAAUGCCGAUAAGAAUGUUUUUGGUUAAAUUGCUGGACUUUCAUUGAACUAUGCAUAGUAUAACAUGUUAAUGGAACCCUAAAUGGUAUAAAUGGUUUAAAUGGUUUGGAAUUGUUAAAUGAUAAGGUUUUGGUGGUUAUGGUUGGUCUAAUUGAAAGCCUUGUGGGAUACAAGGGAAUCCCCCA
RNAcentral lists this long non-coding RNA (314 nucleotides) under Capsicum annuum. RNAcentral's name for it is "long non-coding RNA (CANN_LNC014024)". The record is from RNAcentral. Lineage: Eukaryota; Viridiplantae; Streptophyta; Magnoliopsida; Solanales; Solanaceae.